AAAUUAAUAUUGUAAUUGGAAAUAAACUCAGAACUGUGACCUAUGAAAAUGUUGUUUUUUGCAGGAUAAACUCAAACAGUGCUUCCAAGAGGGAUUGGAUGGAAGUUAAAAAGAAGUGGACAGGCAUGAAAAGUCAAACAAGGAAACGAGCAGCGAGUCAAAAAAGGAAGAAGACGAAAACAGGAGGUGGGCCUCCACCAAUGGAAGAUCUUAACCAUGUUGAACAAAUGAUUGUGUCACUGAUACCACCAUGCCAAAUAGAGGGAUGUGAGGGCGGAAUGGAAAGUGAAGAAUAAGAUCAUGUGAGUGGUUGCUCCUCUGUGCCACAAACAGCAGUAAGUGCCAAAAGUCUGCCACAAUCAGUUGCCUCGGGGAAACCUAAAGGUCAGAUCAUCCAAAUCGAGGAGGAACAACUGGAGGUAUUGGAGGGAAUUUUGAGAGCACAAAAUGAAUUGGUUGAUGUGGAGAGGAGGAAGCUGCAAUUGGAAGAAGAAGAAAAAUGUCAAUUCUGAGAAAUAUUUAUGCUGACAAAAGUUUGUCACCCAUUAUCAAUUUCUAUUAGAUCACUGUCAAGGCUCCACUGUGUGUAGCCUAUUACUUGUAAAAUAUGU
Haliotis rufescens (red abalone) is the source of this 611-nucleotide long non-coding RNA. RefSeq lists it as uncharacterized. The transcript is spliced from 5 exons. Lineage: Eukaryota; Metazoa; Mollusca; Gastropoda; Lepetellida; Haliotidae. The record is from RefSeq and is a predicted model, not a curated record.